UGAUCCUGGCUCAGAUUGAACGCUGGCGGCAGGCCUAACACAUGCAAGUCGAGCGGUAGAGAGAAGCUUGCUUCUCUUGAGAGCGGCGGACGGGUGAGUAACGCCUAGGAAUCUGCCUAGUGGUGGGGGAUAACGUUCGGAAACGGACGCUAAUACCGCAUACGUCCUACGGGAGAAAGCGGGGGACCUUCGGGCCUCGCGCCAUUAGAUGAGCCUAGGUCGGAUUAGCUAGUUGGUGAGGUAAUGGCUCACCAAGGCGACGAUCCGUAACUGGUCUGAGAGGAUGAUCAGUCACACUGGAACUGAGACACGGUCCAGACUCCUACGGGAGGCAGCAGUGGGGAAUAUUGGACAAUGGGCGAAAGCCUGAUCCAGCCAUGCCGCGUGUGUGAAGAAGGUCUUCGGAUUGUAAAGCACUUUAAGUUGGGAGGAAGGGUAGUAACUUAAUACGUUGCUACUUUGACGUUACCGACAGAAUAAGCACCGGCUAACUUCGUGCCAGCAGCCGCGGUAAUACGAAGGGUGCAAGCGUUAAUCGGAAUUACUGGGCGUAAAGCGCGCGUAGGUGGUUCAGUAAGUUGGAAGUGAAAUCCCCGGGCUCAACCUGGGAACUGCUUUCAAAACUGCUGAGCUAGAGUACGGUAGAGGGUGGUGGAAUUUCCUGUGUAGCGGUGAAAUGCGUAGAUAUAGGAAGGAACACCAGUGGCGAAGGCGACCACCUGGACUGAUGCUGACACUGAGGUGCGAAAGCGUGGGGAGCAAACAGGAUUAGAUACCCUGGUAGU
This 785-nucleotide ribosomal RNA is filed under the name uncultured marine bacterium. RNAcentral describes it as "bacterial SSU rRNA". It matches the Rfam family "Bacterial small subunit ribosomal RNA", at positions 14 to 794 of the family's 1533-position model. The record is from RNAcentral.